RNAcentral lists this long non-coding RNA (263 nucleotides) under Mytilus galloprovincialis (Mediterranean mussel). Lineage: Eukaryota; Metazoa; Mollusca; Bivalvia; Mytilida; Mytilidae. The record is from RNAcentral.
GUUUGGUCCUUGUGUAGCUGCUCUUCCUUUCGUCCAUGCAUUUAGUGGAUGUGGCACUUUGUCGAAUUGUCAUGAGAAAGGCAAAAGGUCAGCUUGGCUAACAAUGGAAGGUUUUCCAGAUGUAAAGGAUGUUUUUUUUAGGCUUAAGUAUGAAGCGAGGCACGAUGUGAAUUGUUUGCCAGGAAGCAGCGGCAUUGUGAUGCAAUUCCGCCUACAAGAGGUUCUUUUCCAGAGCACAUCAAAAGAGAAGUAUAUCAAGGAGG